This 377-nucleotide ribosomal RNA is filed under the name uncultured bacterium. RNAcentral describes it as "bacterial SSU rRNA". It matches the Rfam family "Bacterial small subunit ribosomal RNA", at positions 523 to 898 of the family's 1533-position model. The record is from RNAcentral.
AUACGUAGGUGGCGAGCGUUGUCCGGAAUUACUGGGUGUAAAGGGCGUGUAGGCGGGGUAGCAAGUCAGAUGUGAAAUUUUGGAGCUUAACUCCAAAGCUGCAUCUGAAACUGUUACUCUUGAGUAUCGGAGAGGAAAGUGGAAUUCCUAGUGUAGCGGUGAAAUGCGUAGAGAUUAGGAGGAACACCAGUGGCGAAGGCGGCUUUCUGGACGAUAACUGACGCUGAGGCGCGAAAGCGUGGGGAGCGAACAGGAUUAGAUACCCUGGUAGUCCACGCCGUAAACGAUGGAUACUAGGUGUAGGGGGUAUCGACCCCUUCUGUGCCGGAGUUAACACAAUAAGUAUCCCACCUGGGGAGUACGACCGCAAGGUUGAA